RNAcentral lists this ribosomal RNA (484 nucleotides) under uncultured bacterium. RNAcentral's name for it is "partial 16S ribosomal RNA". It matches the Rfam family "Bacterial small subunit ribosomal RNA", at positions 30 to 507 of the family's 1533-position model. The record is from RNAcentral.
AUUGAACGCUGGCGGCAGGCCUAACACAUGCAAGUCGAGCGGAUGAAGGGAGCUUGCUCCUGGAUUCAGCGGCGGACGGGCGAGUAAUGCCUAGGAAUCUGCCUGGUAGCGGGGGAUAACGUCCGGAAACGGGCGCUCAUACCGCAUUCGUCCUGAGGGAGAAAGUGGGGGAUCUUCGGACCUCCCGACCUCACAUGAGCCUAGGUCGGAUUAGCUAGUUGGUGGGGUAAAGGCCUACCAAGGCGACGAUCCGUAACUGGUCUGAGAGGAUGAGCAGUCACACUGGAACUGAGACACGGUCCAGACUCCUACGGGAGGCAGCAGUGGGGAAUAUUGGACAAUGGGCGAAAGCCUGAUCCAGCCAUGCCGCGUGUGUGAAGAAGGUCUUCGGAUUGUAAAGCACUUUUAGUUGGGAAGAAGAGCAGUAAGUUAAUACCUUGCUGUUUUGACGGUACCAAAAGAAUAAGCACCGGCUAACUUCGUG